Molecule: transfer RNA, 69 nt
Filed under: Parapoynx crisonalis
Lineage: Eukaryota; Metazoa; Arthropoda; Insecta; Lepidoptera; Crambidae
Description: tRNA-Gln
Source: RNAcentral
UAUAUUUUAGGGUAAAAUGCACAAUAAUUUUGGAUAUUAUUAAAUAUAGUUUAAUUCUAUAAAAUAUAA